UACGGAGGAUCCAAGCGUUAUCCGGAAUUACUGGGCGUAAAGAGUUGCGUAGGUGGCAUGGUAAGUUGGUGGUGAAAGCGUUCGGCUCAACCGAAUAUACAUCACCAAAACUGCCAAGCUAGAGAGUGAGAGAGGUAGCUGGAAUUCCUAGUGUAGGGGUAAUAUCCGUUGAUAUUAGGAGGAACACCGAUGGCGUAAGCAGGCUACUGGCUCAUUUCUGACACUCAGGCACGAAAGCGUGGGGAGCAAACGGG
RNAcentral lists this ribosomal RNA (254 nucleotides) under uncultured bacterium. Its description in RNAcentral is "partial 16S ribosomal RNA". It matches the Rfam family "Bacterial small subunit ribosomal RNA", at positions 524 to 776 of the family's 1533-position model. The record is from RNAcentral.